Long non-coding RNA from Perognathus longimembris pacificus (Pacific pocket mouse), 153 nucleotides. RefSeq lists it as uncharacterized. The record is from RefSeq and is a predicted model, not a curated record. NCBI's taxonomy places the organism in Eukaryota, Metazoa, Chordata, Mammalia, Rodentia, Heteromyidae. The transcript is spliced from 3 exons.
CUUCUGUAGCAGACUGAACAAUUGCCUUUGCAGACUCAGUUCCAAGAGAGAGAAGUUAGCAGUCUUCAAUCCUCUAAUGGACUAAAUAGCAGGAGAUUUGCGUAUGAGGAUGAGCACCCAGGAGAGGAAGAUGGGAUUCAGCAGAUGUGCCCC